This 48-nucleotide non-coding RNA is filed under the name Schistosoma margrebowiei. Lineage: Eukaryota; Metazoa; Platyhelminthes; Trematoda; Strigeidida; Schistosomatidae. The record is from RNAcentral.
AUCUACAUGACGAGUCCCAAAUAGGACUAAAUGCGCGUCAAGCUAGAU